GCCUGUUAGAAGUAACAGAAACUACAACUGUUUCAAGCCUGACUCUACUCAGAACCCUUGAUGUGAUUCCAAUGGAUUUGGCACAGAACACUGGCUACUUGACCAGUAUUGUGUUUGAGGCUGAAGGCCAAAGCUCAGGCAGACACGGUGGACCAUCAGUUCAGGAGGUGUCCAACACAGUGAGGAGGCUGUGUGCUCAUCUCACGGAUCAACAACAGCAAUCUGAGCUUCUCCUGAAUCUGGUGCUCCAGCUGAGAGCCUUGUCAUCACGUCAGUUGCGAGACUUGUGGC
This is a long non-coding RNA of Danio aesculapii, 291 nucleotides long. RefSeq lists it as uncharacterized. The record is from RefSeq and is a predicted model, not a curated record. Lineage: Eukaryota; Metazoa; Chordata; Actinopteri; Cypriniformes; Danionidae. The transcript has 3 exons.